CAAAAAGCUGCUUCUUUCUUUUAAGGUCUCUGAGUUUUAUGCCCUAGAUGCAGAUCUGGUGCUGGAGGUUCUAUACAAGGUUUUUGGCACGCUGACCUGGCAGCCCACAGAGAAGCACGGCAGCUAUCAGUGCAAAGCGGCAGGGACCACGCGGCCUCGCCGGACCCAGCUUCAAACACAGCACAGGGCUCAGCAUGGGGCUUAGGGAAAAUGCUCUUACGGCAAUGAAGACCACCUUCAAACCAACUCUUGCAGCACUUUUGUAUGGGCUUUGUAUGCUGCCGUUAUCACUCUGAAAU
This 299-nucleotide long non-coding RNA is filed under the name Phasianus colchicus (ring-necked pheasant). Its description in RNAcentral is "lncRNA (ENSPCLG00000008622.1)". Lineage: Eukaryota; Metazoa; Chordata; Aves; Galliformes; Phasianidae. The record is from RNAcentral.